RNAcentral lists this ribosomal RNA (216 nucleotides) under uncultured bacterium. Its description in RNAcentral is "partial 16S ribosomal RNA". It matches the Rfam family "Bacterial small subunit ribosomal RNA", at positions 122 to 334 of the family's 1533-position model. The record is from RNAcentral.
UAACUACCCAUCAGAGGGGAUAACACUUGAAACAGGUGCUAAUACCGCAUAACAGUUUAUGCCGCAUGGCAUAAGAGUGAAAGGCGCUUUCGGGUGUCGCUGAUGGAUGGACCCGCGGUGCAUUAGCUAGUUGGUGAGGUAACGGCUCACCAAGGCCACGAUGCAUAGCCGACCUGAGAGGGUGAUCGGCCACACUGGGACUGAGACACGGCCCAG